This 1052-nucleotide long non-coding RNA is filed under the name Nicotiana benthamiana. RNAcentral describes it as "long non-coding RNA (NBEN_LNC006760)". Lineage: Eukaryota; Viridiplantae; Streptophyta; Magnoliopsida; Solanales; Solanaceae. The record is from RNAcentral.
UGGUAAGACUAAGAACUGUAAGAGAACAUAAUUACUAUGAGAUGAAGCAUAUUCCUAUGUCAAUUUUCUGGCAAGUUCCUCAGUAUUUUGUCAUAGGUUGUGCUGAAGUUUUUACCUUCAUUGGACAAUUGGAGUUUUUCUAUGAGCAAGCUCCUGACGCGAUGAGAAGUUUAUUUUCUGCUCUUUCUCUUAUAACGACCGCGCUUGGAAACUAUUUAAGUACAUUUUUGGUCAAUAUAGUUACGGAUAUGAGCACUAGGAAUGGUGGUCCUGGUUGGAUUCCUGAUAAUUUGAACUAUGGUCACCUUCACUAUUUCUUCUGGCUUUUGGCUGUGUUAAGUGUGCUCAAUUUUGGUUUCUUUCUAUUUGUUGCAAAAGUUUAUACUUAUAAGAAGGCAAUAGGUCCAUCCUCAUAAUUUAUUCCAAUUUGUAACAGUGUUAUCAGAAUGGUUCUCCCAACAUCCGCCGAGGUUUUUACAUUCAUCGGACAAUUGGAGUUUUUCUAUGAACAAGCUCCUGACGCGAUGAGAAGUUUAUGUUCUGCUCUCUCUCUUAUAACGACCGCGCUUGGGAACUAUUUGAGUACACUUUUGGUCAAUAUAGUUACAGAUAUGAGCACUAGAAAUGGUGGUCCUGGUUGGAUUCCUGAUAAUUUGAACUAUGGUCACCUUCACUAUUUCUUCUGGCUUUUGGCUGUGCUAAGUGUGCUCAAUUUUGGAUUCUUUCUAUUUGUUGCGAAAUUUUAUACUUAUAAGAAGGCAAUAGGUCCAUCCUCAUAAUUUAUUCCAAUUUGUAACAGUGUUAUCAGAAUGGUUGUCCCAACAUCCUCAUAAUUCGUUUUCCUCUGUUUCUGCAAGUUACAAUAUUGUAUUCAACAUUCUUGAUUUUCUGAAAUGAGAACUAAGGUUGUUUUCUUGUUUUUCUGAAUUUCAGCAUGGUAAUGCACUAUAUUUGGUAAAAAAAUAUUGUCUGGUAAGUAAAUGCGGAUGGAGCCUAUGUUUAAUGGGUUCAACAUGGAACAUGUAUAGAUUUCUAGGAAUGUUAAAGGUGAA